RNAcentral lists this ribosomal RNA (498 nucleotides) under uncultured bacterium. RNAcentral describes it as "partial 16S ribosomal RNA". It matches the Rfam family "Bacterial small subunit ribosomal RNA", at positions 29 to 523 of the family's 1533-position model. The record is from RNAcentral.
AUUGAACGCUGGCGGCAUGCCUUACACAUGCAAGUCGAACGGUAACGCGGGGCAACCUGGCGACGAGUGGCGAACGGGUGAGUAAUGCAUCGGAACGUGCCCAGUAGUGGGGGAUAGCCCGGCGAAAGCCGGAUUAAUACCGCAUACGACCUAUGGGUGAAAGCGGGGGACCGUAAGGCCUCGCGCUAUUGGAGCGGCCGAUGUCAGAUUAGGUUGUUGGUGGGGUAAAAGCCUACCAAGCCGACGAUCUGUAGCUGGUCUGAGCGGACGACCAGCCACACUGGGACUGAGACUCGGCCCAGACUCCUACGGGAGGCAGCAGUGGGGAAUUUUGGACAAUGGGGGCAACCCUGAUCCAGCCAUGCCGCGUGCGGGAAGAAGGCCUUCGGGUUGUAAACCGCUUUUGUCAGGGAAGAAACGCUCUGAGUUAAUACCUCGGGGUAAUGACGGUACCUGAAGAAUAAGCACCGGCUAACUACGUGCCAGCCGCCGCAGUAA